UACGUAGGGCGCAAGCGUUGUCCGGAAUUAUUGGGCGUAAAGAGCUCGUAGGCGGCUUGUCGCGUCGGAUGUGAAAGCCCGGGGCUUAACCCCGGGUCUGCAUUCGAUACGGGCAGGCUAGAGUUCGGUAGGGGAGAUCGGAAUUCCUGGUGUAGCGGUGAAAUGCGCAGAUAUCAGGAGGAACACCGAUGGCGAAGGCAGGUCUCUGGGCCACUACUGACGCUGAGAAGCGAAAGCAUGGGGAGCGAACAGG
Molecule: ribosomal RNA, 253 nt
Filed under: uncultured bacterium
Lineage: Bacteria
Description: partial 16S ribosomal RNA
Rfam family: Bacterial small subunit ribosomal RNA
Source: RNAcentral